This 100-nucleotide small nucleolar RNA is filed under the name Gossypium arboreum. RNAcentral describes it as "Plant small nucleolar RNA R71". It matches the Rfam family "Plant small nucleolar RNA R71". From Rfam's summary of the family: R71 is a member of the C/D box family of snoRNAs containing the C (UGAUGA) and D (CUGA) box motifs. Multiple nearly identical copies of this snoRNA have been identified in Arabidopsis, and it is thought to function as a 2'-O-ribose methylation guide for 18S ribosomal RNA. Lineage: Eukaryota; Viridiplantae; Streptophyta; Magnoliopsida; Malvales; Malvaceae. The record is from Rfam by way of RNAcentral.
AAACCAUGCAUUUUCUGAUUAGUUCCUUGAGACAUUCCCAUUCUUCAUAUAAUGUUUCAUCUUUCGACUGCUUAAACGAUGUAAUGGCGUUCCUAAGUUU